Molecule: ribosomal RNA, 508 nt
Filed under: uncultured bacterium
Lineage: Bacteria
Description: partial 16S ribosomal RNA
Rfam family: Bacterial small subunit ribosomal RNA
Source: RNAcentral
AUUGAACGCUGGCGGCAUGCCUUACACAUGCAAGUCGAACGGCAGCGGGGGAGAAGCUUGCUUUUCCUGCCGGCGAGUGGCGAACGGGUGAGUAAUACAUCGGAACGUGCCCUGUAGUGGGGGAUAACUAGUCGAAAGAUUAGCUAAUACCGCUUACGACCUGAGGGUGAAAGGGGGGGACCGCAAGGCCUCAUGCUAUAGGAGCGGCCGAUGUCUGAUUAGCUAGUUGGUGGGGUAAAGGCCUACCAAGGCGACGAUCAGUAGCUGGUCUGAGAGGACGGUCAGCCACACUGGGACUGAGACACGGCCCAGACUCCUACGGGAGGCAGCAGUGGGGAACUUUGGACAAUGGGCGAAAGCCUGAUCCAGCAAUGCCGCGUGUGUGAAGAAGGCCUUCGGGUUGUAAAGCACUUUUGUCCGGAAAGAAAUGGCUCUGGUUAAUACCUGGGGUCGAUGACGGUACCGGAAGAAUAAGGACCGGCUAACUACGUGCCAGCCGCCGCGGUAA